CGCCAGACUCCUACGGGAGGCAGCAGUGGGGAAUAUUGCACAAUGGGGGAAACCCUGAUGCAGCGACGCCGCGUGAGUGAAGAAGUAUUUCGGUAUGUAAAGCUCUAUCAGCAGGGAAGAAAAUGACGGUACCUGAUUAAGAAGCCCCGGCUAACUACGUGCCAGCAGCCGCGGUAAUACGUAGGGGGCAAGCGUUAUCCGGAUUUACUGGGUGUAAAGGGGGCGCAGACGGCAGCGCAAGCCAGGAGUGAAAGCCCGGGGCCCAACCCCGGGACUGCUCUUGGAACUGCGCGGCUGGAGUGCAGGAGGGGCAGGCGGAAUUCCUGGUGUAGCGGUGAAAUGCGUAGAUAUCAGGAGGAACACCGGUGGCGAAGGCGGCCUGCUGGACUGCGACUGACGUUGAGGCCCGAAAGCGUGGGGAGCAAACAGGAUUAGAUACCCUCGUAC
This 447-nucleotide ribosomal RNA is filed under the name uncultured bacterium. RNAcentral's name for it is "partial 16S ribosomal RNA". It matches the Rfam family "Bacterial small subunit ribosomal RNA", at positions 329 to 793 of the family's 1533-position model. The record is from RNAcentral.